RNAcentral lists this long non-coding RNA (203 nucleotides) under Carica papaya (papaya). RNAcentral describes it as "long non-coding RNA (CPAP_LNC009773)". Lineage: Eukaryota; Viridiplantae; Streptophyta; Magnoliopsida; Brassicales; Caricaceae. The record is from RNAcentral.
AUACAAUUUCGACCAUACAGGCUCCAUUCCACUUUUCUCUUUUUCUUUUCUUUUAUACUUUUUACUAUUAUCAAUUACAUAUUAUAUUUAUUACUUGCAAAUUCAUCAAGUUUCUACAAUUCACAUAGCAUGCUUGAAAAUAAAAACAAUUCGACUCAUCUGAACACAGAGACAUACAAGAUAGGUAAAAUAACAAUCAUAUU